GACGAACGCUGGCGGCGUGCUUAACACAUGCAAGUCGAACGGAAAGGCCCUGCUUUUGUGGGGUGCUCGAGUGGCGAACGGGUGAGUAACACGUGAGUAACCUGCCCGGGACUUUGGGAUAACUUCAGGAAACUGGGGCUAAUACCGGAUAGGAGCUCAUGCUGCAUGGUGGGGGUUGGAAAGUUUCGGCGGUUGGGGAUGGACUCGCGGCUUAUCAGCUUGUUGGUGGGGUAGUGGCUUACCAAGGCUUUGACGGGUAGCCGGCCUGAGAGUGUGACCGGCCACAUUGGGACUGAGAUACGGCCCAUACUCCUACUGGAGGCAGCAGUGGGGAAUAUUGCACAAUGGGCGGAAGCCUGAUGCAGCAACUCCGCGUGCGGGAUGACGGCCUUCGGGUUGUAAACCGCUUUCGCCUGUGACGAAGCGUGAGUGACGGUAAUGUAUAAAGAAGCACCGGCUAACUACGUG
This 468-nucleotide ribosomal RNA is filed under the name uncultured bacterium. RNAcentral describes it as "partial 16S ribosomal RNA". It matches the Rfam family "Bacterial small subunit ribosomal RNA", at positions 28 to 507 of the family's 1533-position model. The record is from RNAcentral.